AUGGAACAGGGGGCAGCGCGGCAAGACGAGGCACGCAAGGAGCGCGAGGUGCCGCCGCCGGUCCCUUUCCCCAGGGAAAACUUGGAGAGAGAUCUGAAGCUACCCUCUCGUGUGGUUUCUUUGUUCUUUGGCGGUGAUAUCUCAACAACAGCACAGUCAUUCGAGAAAUGGGUGUCAUUGGUACGUUUGCGGAGCGGGACAUUUCGCCCAUCUGGGUUCCCACGUCGCAAUUCAAGGAUUGAAGUGAUGCCAAGUGGAAGCUUCUCACUUUUUGGCAGCACAGACUUAAGGGAGGAAGUGGUUAAAGCAGAAGCGGCGAGCAGAGAAAAGAAUCCUACGCUUGAUCAGCCUCCUGAAAUAAGUUUGUGGGAGAGGCUUGGGAAUGCUUCUGCAUUGGACAUUGAAUCAUCUGGCUUUUCAUGGAAUAUGCUGUCAUCUCUGCACCAUACAGAACACAGUAGUAGUUCAGAACACUCUGAAGAUGAGAUGACUAAAGCUCUUGAGAUGACUGUGAACUCUGGUGGCGUUGUAUUCUUUGCUCUAUUUAGUGCGGGUAACAAUGGUUUACCAAAAGAAGAAGCAGCUGUUAUAAAGUUUGCAGCGUCAAAGAUGGCAACACAGGCAGAACUUUUGGGAUAUGAAUUUGCACGGUUGCUUGGAGUCCAGACACCACAAGCUAGGAUAGUGCAUAAUUCUAGUCUGGAGUGGCAGGGGAUAAAACAUGCCGCAGAAAAAGCACGAGAAAUAGCGGUUUCAAAUAAUGAUGAGAUUGGUGAGAUGACUUGCUCAGAAUUGUUGGAAGCUCUUGAGCUAAGCCGAUGUCUUCUUCUAAUGAGUUAUUUUCAUGGCUCACCCCUGCUAGAGAGUCCAAAGGCAUUCAGUUCACGGCAAGCUGCGCGUAUUACUUCUUCAUCCCUUGGAAGGGUCUUGAUGCUAGAUCUGAUACUCAGGAAUGAGGAUAGGCUCCCAUGCCGCCAGCUUGGCUGGCGUGGCAAUCCCGCAAACUUGAUGAUUUCGGAUAGAUCAUCCUUGCCCAGUAUGGACAGAUUUGAGGAGUCUAAGGGCACUUUGGAAAACUCCAACCCACUGUUUUCUAAUAUUUUCCAAAAAGAAAAACAGUUCCACUCUGCAAACGGAAGAUUAGAUUCUCCGGAGGUGGACCUCAUGUCAGGAAAAGCAGAUGCAUUGAGAAGUGUACAAGAAAAUGCUGAAAGUGCGAGCGGGACUUUCCACAUUGUAGCAAUUGACACUGGGGUGCCCCGUCGCCCACCUGCAGGGAGACGUGUCAAAGAUCAUGAACGGUAUCCCAAAGUUGUAGAACUCAUUUUGAAUAACUCGGACCACUCCGCGAAUAUCUUAUAUGAAAUUUCCGGUGGUAAGCUUGGGAUUCCUGGACCUGAUGAGGCAAUCACUUCCACUGAUUCUUGCUGCUCUCUUUCUGAUGAAGACAAUGCUGCUGCGAUUCAUGAAUUCCGAGUGGCAUUUCGUGCAGCUCUUAGGGAUCUGGAGGGUUUCCAUCUAUUUCUUCUCCAGCUAUACCAAAAAUUGGAUGGUGUUCUGCGAGUUUUCUCGUCCAUAAUUACUAAAAGCUCUGAGGAAUCUGACCAUAAUGAUAUUGCAAUUUCUGAUUUCCCAUCUCCGGGAGCCAGCUACAGUACCCCUUGUCCACCUAAUAAGCACGUGAACAGUGACCCUCAUAGUGACUCUGGAACGCAAAAAAAUGCCACAAAGACAUCUUCUGCGGGAUCCCGCGGAAGCUCAGAUUCUCCUAUGUCCAGGGACAGUUGGAGUGGUAAACACUUGAAGGGGAGUGCAGAUGCUCCCCGAAGUAGAAUGACAAUGAGACUUCGUGAUUUUUAUAAGACUCCGAAGGUUGAUGUCGAUCCUGAAUUGCUCAAGGAGAUAGAACAAUGGAAUGAAGCGUUUAAGACCGACGUGAUCAGAUUUUGUCAGGAGAACAAUUUUCAUUCUGGAUUCUUUGAUGGAACUGAGAACAACAUGGCGGCAGAUGCCUACGAGUUAAAGGUGCGCCUUGAACACAUCAUUGAAAGGACAUCGUUGGUCUCUGAUGCUGCAAAUACUGAGCGACCUUCUCUCGUGGUCAACAACUUAUUUAUAGGUGGGGCUCUCGCUGCAAGGUCUAAGUACACCCUCCAGCAUUUGGGCAUUACCCAUAUACUAUGUUUGUGUUCGAAUGAGAUUGGUCAAUCUGAUACCCAGUUUCCUGAUCUUUUUCAGUACAAGAACUUUUCAAUUAGUGAUGAUGAUGAUGCAAACAUCAGCGAUCUUUUUGAAGAAGCAUCAGAUUUUAUUGACCAGGUCGACCGUGUUGGGGGUAAGGUCCUCAUCCAUUGCUUUGAAGGGAAAAGCCGGAGCGCCACGGUCGUCCUUGCCUACUUGAUGCUCAGAAAGGGCUUCACGCUUGCGAAGGCCUGGAACUUACUAAAGAAAGUACACCGCCGCGCGCAACCGAACGACGGCUUCGCCAAGGCCCUGCUAGCUCUGGACAAGAAACUGCACGGCAAGGCGUCGAUGGACUGGCAGCAGAAGCGGCCUGAGAUGAAGGUGUGCCCGAUAUGCGGCAAGAACGUGGGGCUGAGCACCAGCUCGCUGAAGCUGCACCUGCAGAAGGCGCACAGGCGGCUGUCGCAGGGCAGCGUGGACAGCGCCAUGACCAUGGAGAUCCAGAAGUCGAUCGAGUCGCUCCGGAUCAGCCGCGGCGGGAGCCUCAGCCCUUCGCAGAAGCUGGCCAAGGCGUUCGCUGACGAGCUCACCUUCUGA
This 2781-nucleotide ribosomal RNA is filed under the name Triticum aestivum (bread wheat). RNAcentral's name for it is "partial small subunit ribosomal RNA". The record is from RNAcentral. Lineage: Eukaryota; Viridiplantae; Streptophyta; Magnoliopsida; Poales; Poaceae.